ACAAAGCCUCGGGCCUCUGGGGCCGCAGAGUAGCCCCAAACUGGAGGUGGGUCUUCUGAGCUCCACUUCACAGGGAGACGCUGAGACUCGGGAAGACGAGGAUAUCCAGACGCAGCCGCCCAAGUGCUGGCCAGAGAGCCCUGUCCCCAAAGCCAUGAUCCGUUAUACCAGGGGACUUGGAAUGUGAGCUCUAGGUGGGGCGCAGCCUUCCUGGGGGUCUGUCCCCCUGCCCGCUCUGUAACCCCAGAUCCUGUCUACCCUGGAGUCCAGGCCAGGGAAGGGCCCAGGGCCCAGAGGAUGCUCUGACGAGGGGAACCUCUGCUGACCCCUCUUGCCCGGGUCUGCCUCAGAGCCUGCAGGACACACCUUAGCAACUUCUUUCAGUUCGUGUAGACGGGAGGGGGGUGGUCGGAAAGCCACGGUGACCACUGGCUUCAUCACAACUCAGUGGCCCUUAUCAAGUCACUGCAUUUCUUUAAGCCUCUGGUCCUCAACAUAUUCAAUGGUGAGGGAUGGACUGCCACUUCCAUCGUCAAGGAAAGAGGAGUAUACGAGAUGACCUGGGAAAGUCCUUCGAAAAUAGGAGUAUGGUUCUCUGGGCUAAUCACGAGAUGACAGUAAGCUAAUAAACACAUUGCCUGGCAUAUGGGAGGCACACAAUAACCACAAAAUGAAUUAAAUAUCCCUGGCACGGAAGAGUAGGAAAAAAAGCAAAAAAUUCUUUUUCCGGAGAUGUCUCAAGAUAAAACGUUGGCUAAAUUUGUGGAUUGAGGGGCUGAGGAUGUUUUUUAUUUUUCUGGUAUCUGUCAAAUUUAAGGGGGAUGCCAUUUCUGUUCACAGACCCGCCUUUCCUCCUAACCCAGUGAUACUCCUCUCAGUAAUAACCAUCCUAACUCGUUCCUUUAUUUUAGCUGGAUACAGAACUUGAUCCUUUAAAAAUACUCAUCAUUUCAUUAAAUCUUUAGUGCCACCUUGUGAGGCAUAUAGAAAAGUAUUAAUAUCCUCACUUGGGAAAUGAGGAGAUGGCAUGGCAAAUCUGACUUGCCCAAAUUUACACGUUACUGGCUAAAUGGAUUUGAAUCCAGGCUUUCUGACUCUAGUCAACUAUUCAGAUUUUGUGCACGCGCCUGUGUGCAUGCACCCCCCCCCCACACACACACACAAGAAAACACGUUUCUCAAACCAUCUUCUCCUUCCUACUGUCUCUAUUUCCCAUCCGGUUUAAAAAGUGAUGGAAAAAAGAAUUAAAAAUCCUGGCUACAUGAGUAAGAGGAAGCAAAAUGUACCAAUAUUAGGACAUGGUGAAGAAAUCAGCCUGCAUGAUUUUUUGAGGGCUUCUUAGCCAGGCAGAUUGGAAUGGUUUGGAUUAGUAGUUUAAAUAGGGGUUGGGGGUGUGGCUCAGUGGUAGAAUGCUUGCCUAGCAUGCACAAAGCCCCCGGUUUUAUUCAUCUCCAGCACUUGGAGGGAAAAAAAAAAAGUAAAGUUCAAGUAGAUUCUGGCUUAUGAGAAAGAAAGAAUCAAUGACUUGCCCUAUCUUCCUCCCUUCACAGUAGCUCUUUAAGUCAACAAAUACCUGAGUCCCUUCUAAAGGCAAGGUACAGGGCUUCUUGUCACUGCAUCACAUAAGAGCUACAGCUUUGUGAAACAUCAGGCCGAGGGACCCAUAAAAAGUAACCCUCCAAAGUAAUUUUCAGAUUUAAGAGCAGAUGCAUGUGGGCUGCAGAACCUUCUCUGCCUGUCUGCUCCUUGAGAUGUUACAUAAAUCUCUGGCUGGCGCCCUCUCUCUCUCUCUCUCUCUCUCUCUCUCUCUCUCUCUCUCUCAUUAACCUGAACUAUUGUACUGUUUCUUCCUAUCACACUGCCCUUACGAUCCCUCACACUCUGUCCCUGUCUCAUGCCACCCCUCUUUCCACAUGCCAUACUCUUCCCCUGACCUGUUCUUAAAGCUGAGUUCUCUUUUACCAGGUGAACCUCAUAGCACCUGAUUUUAGAUCUGCGGGGGACUGUUUUCCAAAAGCUUAAGAAGUUGGAAUAAGCACUCUUGGGUUUCUUUACACAUUUUUAUAGCACUGUCUCUUCAAUGAACUUGACACUACCAUAUACACAAACUACAAAAAUAACGCUCAAGCCAAUUUUUAUCUCGUUUUUGGUGAAGAUGAGAUACUGGGAGGACUUAUGAUGGGGAUACCUCCCUAAUUAUGUCCAUUCUUAAGGUAUCAGUGCCAGUAAUCAUUCAAUUGAAUAUUUUAUAGGUAACUCCACUUAUGGGAAAAAGAAGACUACCAGAGGUAAAAACUUGUGAUUUGCUGCCUGCAAAUUUACUGAGCAAAAACUGUUAACCAAACAGUUGUUUAAAAACAAAUAUCAUUGGGGCUGGGGAUGUGGCUCAAGC
This 2392-nucleotide long non-coding RNA is filed under the name Marmota monax (woodchuck). Lineage: Eukaryota; Metazoa; Chordata; Mammalia; Rodentia; Sciuridae. The record is from RNAcentral.